Molecule: non-coding RNA, 197 nt
Filed under: Ectopseudomonas oleovorans
Lineage: Bacteria; Pseudomonadati; Pseudomonadota; Gammaproteobacteria; Pseudomonadales; Pseudomonadaceae
Source: RNAcentral
UAGCCUUCGCGCAUUCGAGGUUCUUCAUGGCGCGGUUGUCGUGAAGCUAAGAGGGAACAGGGUCGAUGCCCUGGCUGCCCCCGCAACUGUGAACGGUCUCAAACCCUUCGAUACACCACUGCCCAGGGCGGGAAGGUGAAGGGCGCACCCUGUGCAGACCGUGAGCCAGGAGACCUGCCUCGUUUCGUCAGCCAACU